GACGUAGGGCGCGAGCGUUGUCCGGAUUUAUUGGGCGUAAAGAGCUCGUAGGCGGCUUGUUGCGUCGACCGUGAAAACCCGGGGCUCAACUUCGGGCUUGCGGUCGAUACGGGCGGGCUAGAGUUCGGUAGGGGAGACUGGAAUUCCUGGUGUAGCGGUGAAAUGCGCAGAUAUCAGGAGGAACACCGAUGGCGAAGGCAGGUCUCUGGGCUGACACUGACGCUCAUGCACGAAAGCGUGGGGAGCAAACAGG
Molecule: ribosomal RNA, 253 nt
Filed under: uncultured bacterium
Lineage: Bacteria
Description: partial 16S ribosomal RNA
Rfam family: Bacterial small subunit ribosomal RNA
Source: RNAcentral